GUCUUUAGUAAACGACCACGUGUCCGCAACAAAUGAAGAAAAGGAGAAAGUUUUAGAAGAAUUAAACACUAUUGAUGAUAUUCGUCUUGAUAGGAUAACAAAUGCCAUUAAUGAAUCACCAGAAGGGGUUGACCGUGAAAGAAUGCAUACUGCCCUAGAAUGGUUAAACCUUUGUAAAGAAGAAAGAAACCUUCUGUCCGAGUUAGAUGAACUGGAAUAUGAUUGUCAACACCAAGUUAAUGAAACAACUUUUGCACUUGAUGUUAAGAGAAAAGAAAUGAAACGCCUUGAAGAGAUAACUCAUGAAUACCAUGAUAUGAUGGUCAAAGAUGAAGAAGAUACCGGAUUUUACGUCAGAGGAACAAUAGCUUGUCAAAGUCUACCAACUUCAGGCGAACCGAUGAGCGUUUCUGAAUCUUUGUCGGAUUUGGCGAUUGAUGAAGCUAUUGAUGAUGCCAGUCAUCUCCAUCACUGCGCAAGACGCACCGAUCUUCAUCAGAAUAUAGAUGAUGAUGAGUAUUUAAGAACACAAUCUGCUCAAAUGGAACGAAACAUGGCAGAAUAUAUGAGGGAUCUCAACUUAAGUCCAAAUGGCGCUUUGGGAGAAGAUGAAGAUGAGAAUGAAGAAAUUAGUGAUGUAGAAGGAACACUGUAUUCUGAUACCGAAGUCAACCUUCAAGAUGCUGCGUUAGAGUUUUCAGAGCUAAGAACCACAGAUCAAGAAAAUGAGAAUAAAUUCAAACAGCCUGAUGAUAAACCGACAGUGUUUUCUAAAUUGGCAAAAAAUGUUGCAGGACCAAAUCUUCUUGGAAAAAUUGGCCGAAAUAUACCGCAUAUGAUGGAAUCAGGACACUUGGAUCAAAGUUCUAUAACUGAUAAGAUUCGGGGACGUUUGGGUUUGAAUUUAGAUAGAACUAGAGGUGGAAGCCACACUGAAAUUAAAAAAGGAACAGGCGUUCAUGCUACUGGCAGUGGAACGUUUUCUAAACUAAAGAAGAAAUAAACUAAAUCUUUAAUUUUUCUAAGUUAAAUCACAAGAGAUACAGCUGAAAGGAAAUCCUGUUUAUUGUUUAUUGUAGUUUAUGUUUCUGUUACCCAUGUUUUGAUUAUUUUCGUAUUUUGAUUAUUUUCACAUUUUGAUUGAAAUAAACAUUUGAGAUAAUUACCCUGAAUGCUUACAUUCUGUAAUAUAAAUUAAUAUUUACAGUAGUCAGUUUAAGUUACACUUCUAAUACCAUCAGUUACAUUUAUGGUGAUAGACAUUUUUCUUGAAUUGUUGGAAAUUAACAAACAGACCUGAACACGAGUUUCGAUCACGACAAUUCGAAUAUCCCGGGGGGUCUAAAUGAUGAACCAAAUAUUUCAACGUCUUUAAAUUGGAAGAAGAGUUAAUUAUUAUUAAAUUAUUCUUCCUAAAGAGAGUUCUUUAUUUCGCUCUAGUCUAAAACUACAAAUCAGAUGAUAUUUAUUUCUAAAAUUUUGCAUUUAUAUAUUUACUUCCGCACCAAAUUACAAACAUUUCUCUCACAUACUUA
Molecule: long non-coding RNA, 1535 nt
Organism: Patella vulgata (common limpet)
Lineage: Eukaryota; Metazoa; Mollusca; Gastropoda; Patellidae
Exons: 4
Source: RefSeq, a predicted model, not a curated record